Molecule: long non-coding RNA, 1014 nt
Organism: Rhopalosiphum padi (bird cherry-oat aphid)
Lineage: Eukaryota; Metazoa; Arthropoda; Insecta; Hemiptera; Aphididae
Exons: 3
Source: RefSeq, a predicted model, not a curated record
UUAACAUAAAAAUGUAAACAUUCAUUAAAAUGUCGUUUCAAUGAAUUUUUUUAAGGAUAGUGUAAAUUGAGGAACCAAAAUUUAUCCAUGCUAUAAGGAAUUUAUUAAAAUGUUCAUAAGUUGUUUCUGGGGAUGAUUAGUUAUAGAUGAACUUUUUAGUUUAGAGUGUUAAACAACGAUGAUUAUGUAAAGGUAAAUGUAGUUUCACUGCAGACUAGAUUUAAUCCAACGACUAUCGUCCGCAUUACGGGUUAUUUAUAUAACUAACCAGUGUCGUAUCAAACUGUAGUGCUCGAUUGUAUAUAUAUUUUUUAAUUACAAAUUAGUAUUUAAUAGUCUUGUAGUAAUUAUAUUAAACACGUUAUUUGAUUGUAAAAAGGGUUUUAGUGAAAAAAAUGAGGACAUUAUUUUUUAUGAUAUAGAUCAGUCGAAAUAUUGGUAACUAUACGUUACAUAGAAACGUAAAAUUACAUUUGUCGACUGUGCAGGUUUCAACAAUGAUAGUAUGAGUAUUCUUGAAUGUUGAAAAGUGGACAAAAGCUUGAUACUAUAGAGGGUAGCAUACACUACACAGUAUAAUAUCCUUGAGUAUGAAUACCUAACAACUAUAUAUAUUAUAUAUGUUACAGAAAUCGCGGUAUAACACAAUCAAAACGUAAGGUCAUGUAUCAUCAAUAAUAUCAUCUCAAAAUGUUUACCGUACUAAACGUAAACUGAACGACGUAGAUGUAUAGUACGAUUCGCCCAAAAACAUGAGUUGCUUGUGGCUACCACCACAAAAUGUAUACGAUUCAUUGCAUUUUCAGGUCAAAAAUUAAAAGUCCAGAUAAUGUUUUAGACGUAGUUGAUUCAUCUCAAGAUAGUGGUAUUUUAUGAUAUUCUUUAUCCGGGCUUACCCUGACAAUUGGCACCGCGGGCAUGGAUGCUGUUCUUCCACGAUCUGUGAUCGUCGUAGAUCUUCGGUUGCUGAACACCGACGACCGUUGUAGACUCCUCCUGGGUGAACUUCCCGAC